UAAGAAUGCCCAAUUAACCACAGUUAAGGUGUGUUGAAGUAAUUAAUUAGUAUAUUGAUUUCCUACAGUUAACCCGUUCUAUAUUAAUUUCCUACAGUUAACCAGUUCUAUAUAUUAGAAUUGUUCCUAGUCCUAGUCCUUUGAUGGAUUCUUGCUUGUAUUGCUUGCUGGUGGUCCAUCCCGUGCUUCUUCCCGGAAGGACUCUUAGAUCAUCGAGGAUGAUUUCAAAUUUCUUAAGGAACUAUUUUGGGCAAAUGGGGAUGGCUUGCCUUCUGAAUUAAUAGAUAAGUUUUCAAUUACUGUGAGAUCUAUCCUUCCCCUUUUCAGAACUGACACAGAGACCAUUAUAGAGCGGUUUAGACGAGUAACCCUGGAGACAUAUAAAUCCUCUGCAAGGUCUAGGCUUCCAUUACCUCCAACUUCUGGCCAGUGGUAUCCAUCUGAACCAAACACGUUAUUACGUGUUCUAUGCUAUAGAAACGAUGAAAUAGCCUCUAAGUUUCUUAAAAAGACAUAUGAUCUACCUAAGAAACUCUAAACAACAGUGAGAAACAGUAAAUGGGAUGGAAAAUUGGGAUGUCGGUGGGGACUAUGCAUUCUGCUUAACAACCCGGUUAUUCUUGUAUUUAUUACAACAUUGCCCAGCUAAUAUACGUGCAUUAUUCUUCAGGAUGCGACUCUCUUGUAGCCAAAAGCUUAUUGCUACUAGCAUAUUCUUAGAGUAUGAAGUGAGGCAGCUCAAAUGGUAGCUAAAAUGGCUGGCUUACAUCAGAAGUUAAUUCAUAUGGUCCCUUUAAGCUGCUGGAAGCACCCCACAACUGGUGGCAAGAAGCACGAGCACCUAAAAUUGCUUCUGUGCAGAUUGAAUGGAGUGUCAGGGGUGGCUCGUUAAGGAAUGUUGAUUCUGCUCGUGUUUCAAUCCCCAGCACCUUAAAGUAUGAUGAUUCAAAGAAAUGUUAUGUUUACGGCACAGAGCUAAACAAGUGUGCUCAUUGGCCUUUUCUUUCCACAAAACUUGUUUGUUUGGUUUUUUAUUUCUGAGAGUUAAUAAAUUAUAUAUUGAAAUAUUUUCAUAUUGUACUGAUCAUGGUUAGUUCUUAUGCAUUCAAUUGACAUAAUUUUCAUUAUAAUGUUGAGUAAUGAGUUUUUUGUGCCAUAACAAAGUGAAUAACUUUUACUAUUGACAUUUUUUCAAGUACU
Arachis ipaensis is the source of this 1200-nucleotide non-coding RNA. The record is from RefSeq and is a predicted model, not a curated record. Lineage: Eukaryota; Viridiplantae; Streptophyta; Magnoliopsida; Fabales; Fabaceae.